GACGAACGCUGGCGGCGUGCUUAACACAUGCAAGUCGAACGGAAAGGCCCUGCUUUUGUGGGGUGCGCGAGUGGCGAACGGGUGAGUAACACGUGAGUAACCUGCACUUGACUUUGGGAUAACUUCAGGAAACUGGGGCUAAUACCGGAUAGGAGCUCCUGCUGCAUGGUGGGGGUUGGUAAGUUUCGGCGGUUGGGGAUGGACUCGCGGCUUAUCAGCUUGUUGGUGGGGUAGUGGCUUACCAAGGCUUUGACGGGUAGCCGGCCUGGGAGGGUGACCGGCCACAUUGGGACUGGAAUACGGCCCAGACUCCUACGGGAGGCAGCAGUGGGGAAGAUUGCACAAUGGGAGGAAGCCUGAUGCAGCAACGCCGCGUGCGGGAUGACGGCCUUCGGGUUGUAAACCGCUUUCGCCUGUGACGAAGCGUGAGUGACGGUAAUGGGUAAAGAAGCACCGGCUAACUACGUG
This 468-nucleotide ribosomal RNA is filed under the name uncultured bacterium. RNAcentral describes it as "partial 16S ribosomal RNA". It matches the Rfam family "Bacterial small subunit ribosomal RNA", at positions 28 to 507 of the family's 1533-position model. The record is from RNAcentral.